Molecule: non-coding RNA, 3804 nt
Organism: Phoenix dactylifera (date palm)
Lineage: Eukaryota; Viridiplantae; Streptophyta; Magnoliopsida; Arecales; Arecaceae
Source: RefSeq, a predicted model, not a curated record
ACGGGCGUUCGACACUAGGGGUGGGGGCAGCGGCCGCAACGUCGCGGACAUCCACUCCCUGAGCCGUUACUGCUUCGGCUCGAAAGAUUUGGUCCUUGGCGGUUGAAAGCCAAGGACUUUCUUUGUCUUUCUCGUGCUCUUCUUCUUUUCUAUCGAUAAAGGACAGCUUCGCAAGGGAUUAACAUGCCUUGCCUUUUCUUUCUGGCAUUUUUUCGUACAAAUUUUGGUCAGCCAUGCCGCUCAUGGGUUGAGGGCUUGCCUCGAAGGGGUUCUUCUGUGGUAAUGCAUUGAGUGGGAUGCUGGAAUUGACACGCCAUGUUACACAAGAUCAAGGUCGAGGAUAAUAUAUGCAUCUCAAAGUUGGGUAGAUUUGAUUCUCCUUGGUCUUUUUCUUCGUGUAAUGUUUACAUGUGUUUGUGGGUUGAGGUUUUUGAUAUGUAGUGCGAUUUAGCAGUCAUGGUUGUUACACAUGCUUUUGCUGGGGAAUUGAUAGCAUAUGCUGGUGAAAUGCAUUGACAUGCUUUCUAAUAAAAAAAAGAAUGACUUUCUUUGCAUUAUGUAAAUUAAAACUUAGUUCCCUAACUAUGUCAUCUCUUUCAUUUUUCCAACUAGCAUAUUUUUCAUAUCUUCCUGCUCUGGCAGUUGGUGUAAUGCACCAUGACAAGUAUGCAUAUUAUUGGAGUGAAUGAUAUUGACAUGAUACAAAUACUAUUCCCCAAGUUGCCAAGGAAGCUUGAAGGCAGCUCCCCUUCUUGUAGUUAAGGUGCUAGUCAUUAUUGCCAGAUGCCACCAUCCUGAUUUAUGCUCUUUGGUGCCUUCUUCAUACUGCAAGCUCCUCUUAAUGUGUCAACAUGCUAGUUGGUUGUUUUUAUCAUCACACUUGAUGUUGCUUAACCUCUGAGUGAUACACGAUAUCUUCUCUGAACACCAUUGCUCUUUUUGUGAACAGCAGAUCACACUGCAGUGGAUUACUGCUGCUGCUAUUGAUUCCUGAAUUUUACACAGUGAUUUAUCCUGCUAGGAUGUGCUUUUGAUCUUUCUCUAACAUGUAGACCUGGAUGAAAUAGUGAAAUUUUGGGAAUUCAUUUACUAAAUCAGAAAUUAGUUAUAAAUUCUGCUAUAGGAGGGACCUAAAGAUUUUUUCCCCCCAUAACAGGUCAAAUUGUUUCAACACUCUCAUGGGCUAAUUGAAAAACUCAUUCUUUAAGCUUCCGAGAGGCCAUCUGAGACCUGGUGAAUAAGGUUUGUGCUAAUUGUGCGGGACUUCAUCUUCUAUAACAACAGGACUUUUGGACUUUACAUUCUGUAUCAACAGACUAUUUUUAGAAUGGCGUCAUACCAAAUCUCAAUGCCUGGGGGAAGGGGGUUGUUCAAAUGCACAGUUAAUCCAUCUAUAUAAUAUUCCAUAAGUGAGGAUUUAACUUAAAUCUCUUCAAUUCCAUGUUAGAAUAGGAGGCAGAGGGAGUAUGGGGGAUUAGAGAAUUUGUUAUCGCAAUCACAGUGGUAUCCCUUGUUUGGAUGUGGUUGGAGGCUUACAAUGCACAUAUUUUAUGAGUACGUCCUUGGAUAUGUCAUCCAUGUAUAAUACAUAUCCUAACCAUGUUUGGAUAUGUAAAAGAUAUUAUAUGCAACCUUACACCCUAAAAAUCUAAUGAGUCCAUUACUGAGCCUGUGCUUCGUAUGCUGGCAUAGUAAAAUGUUUCUAUUUGAAUCUUUUUCCAUUGUUUGUACAUUGCUUUGAUUUGAAGGCUGAAAAUCUAGGAAGAUACCCGACUUUUUUCUACUAAUCACUAGCAAAGCCAGCUUUUUCUACAAAUCACUGGCAAAGCCAUCCUUUUCAGAUGUAUUGAGAUUGGAAAUGCAUCCUCAGGAUCUUGUGCAACAACAGAAGUGAAAUUGGAGUAGCAAUUUUGGAUUCAUGAUAAUAUUGACACUGAGGAAGAUCAAUUUGGAAUUCUUUUUAGAUAUUUAAGGACUGAAAUGCAAGCUUUCAAGAAAGCUCUCUCUUUACUAGAGAUGCAUAAAUGAUGAGUGGCGGGUAGGGUUAAAACAUGGCUGGCAGAGGAUCUCAGUUUUGCUCUUACAAUCUUGUUGAAAUUCCUAGUAAUGUAAUAGAAUACUUAAGCAUCUUGACUUCCAGGUAGAUAAAUGCAUAGGAAUUUGGUGGAGGUUUGAGUUUUUAGACUACCUGAUUUGAUCGAGGAGAAAAAAGAUUUUCUUUAACUUGCUCAACUCGAAUUUUACAAAAGAAAACUAGAAGAAGAUGGAGGAAUCUCGAAAGUAGGGCUUUAAGUCCUUUUUUCUUUUAUUGAUUUUUUCGCACCCCUUAAACUGAGGUACAUAGCCCCUAUUUAUAAUACUAGUGAGGUCCCUCCUUUCACAAUUUGGGUUGGAUUCCUCUUAUAGUUUGAAUAGGACUAGAUAUUCUAAAAUAAAUAUGAUUAAUAAGAAUAUUCUAGAAAAAAGCUAAAAUUUAGAAAUAUUCUAGAAAAAAACUGAAAUUCUUGAGGAGGUAAUCUCGACUUUUAUAUCAACUCUGCCUUUGAUCGCUCUGCAUGAUUCUUCUCGGAUAGAGAGCUACGUCCGGUCAAAGUCUUAUCCAAAAAGAAAACUUUUGGUUGUCUAGUCCGUUUUGGGGCUUAAACGAUAGAAUUUUAGCUCAAUUCAAUUUUCUAAGAGGCUGGCCCAAAGUUAUAGAUCUCGAAAAGAUACCUAAUUUCCAAAAAAAAAAGGUCAUCUCAAUCGGGUAUCGUAUGACCAACUUAUAGCCUUUGGAAGUUUCGCAUAUGAUUCGGCUUUUCAAUGUGGCAGAUAUCGCUUCUGAACCAUGUCCAGUCAUUCUCGUAAUGGCCAAAGUGUUUCACAUCGAGUCUAGUGACCCUCCUAAAUAUUCGUAGUGGCCGAAGUGUUUUAUAUCGAGUUUGAUGAUUCCCUUGGAUACUCGUAGUAGCCAAAGUUAUCCACAUCGAGUUUGAUAAUCCUUCCGAAUACUCGUAGUGGUCAGAGUGUUCCACAUCAAGUUUAGUGAUCCUUUUAGAUACUCGUAGUGGUGAAAGUGAUCUACAUCGAGUUUGGUGAUCCUCUUGAAUACUCGUAGUGGCCAAAGUAAUCUACAUCAAGUCCGGUGAUCCUUUUGGACUGCUACCAUUUUCGUAGCUGCCACCUGAUACACACACAGACCUAAGCGUGCACAAAGCUUUUCUUGGUUAGGCUGCCGGGCACCCAGCAAUCUGUUGCACCAAAAAACUUGAAGCUGCUUGCAGUUUGAUUAUGCCAGAUGCAUGAUAAUUCCACGGUACAGAGUAUUGGUGUAGAACUUAAACAGCUUGCGGAACUGAGAGAUUUAAAUCUGGAAGUCGGUGACUCAUCAUUGAAUAAUAUCACAUUCUGUAGACAUAUGGUCCUAUUAUCUCUGGAAUUCCGCAGCUACUAUUGAAAUUCUCCUUCAAUAUCAUCCAGGAUUGAAGCAGAGCUGAUAACAUUGCUAUGUGCAUUGGGUGCAUGAAGUAUGUGUGCAAUUGCUCGAGUGCAAAAGAGAGAUUGAUCUAGGAGUCUGUACAUCAGUUGAUAUUGUCCUGGUGGCUCUUUGUGAGUCAAAUGGUUAGAACAGUGGAGGCUUUGCAUUUUCUGUUGACUGCGGCAUGCAAAUUAUAGAACACCUAAAUAGAAACUGCUGUGGUGCAAAUAUGAGUACUUUUGACAUCAGAUUUUUGAUAAAACAAGAUGCUAUGUAUGUGUUAAACGAUCAAUAGAACAUCCAUAAAAAUCCUAUGAGGUUUGUGAGAUUAGAAUUGUUUGUGGCUG